UGAAGCCGAACAUUAGCAAGUUGCUUAUAAACAAAACCAAUGCCAAUGUCAUAAACUAGCAAUCAAUAAACCACAACAACCAACUCUAAUCAGCCGAUCCAUCUCGUAUUACCAAUGCCAUAAACUAGCAAUCAAGAACAAGUGAAGCAAAUAAACAAAACCAGAAAAAUCGAUCAAAACAAAUAAUAGAACACCCAAAACUCACUUGUUAACUUCCAUCAAGUAAUAGC
RNAcentral lists this unclassified non-coding RNA (230 nucleotides) under Hevea brasiliensis (rubber tree). The record is from RNAcentral. Lineage: Eukaryota; Viridiplantae; Streptophyta; Magnoliopsida; Malpighiales; Euphorbiaceae.